This 162-nucleotide non-coding RNA is filed under the name Cinara cedri. Its description in RNAcentral is "6S / SsrS RNA". It matches the Rfam family "6S / SsrS RNA". Rfam says of the family: E. coli 6S RNA was the first non coding RNA to be sequenced, but its function was unknown until recently. Lineage: Eukaryota; Metazoa; Arthropoda; Insecta; Hemiptera; Aphididae. The record is from Rfam by way of RNAcentral.
AGGGGUCUGUGCUAUCCGUUAUAAGUUAAGUCAAAUUUCCCGAGCGAUAAUAUUUUAUUAAGGGAAUUGCCUCUGCUAGUUUUAUUAAAAUUGGCACGUGAUACCCACCUUAAUUUGAGGUCUCAGGAAUAAGCUAAGGCUGACGGUAGAUAUGGACCCCAU